Vicia villosa (hairy vetch) is the source of this 356-nucleotide long non-coding RNA. RefSeq lists it as uncharacterized. The transcript is spliced from 2 exons. The record is from RefSeq and is a predicted model, not a curated record. Lineage: Eukaryota; Viridiplantae; Streptophyta; Magnoliopsida; Fabales; Fabaceae.
UUAAGGUAAAGGAUUUGCUUAAGCACAGAAGCACGUUGAAAUCUGAUGCUGAUGCGGUUACGGUGCUGGAUGGAACACAGGAAGGUGCUUUUCAAUGGGAAUUGAAGGAAAUGGGAGAAAAGGAUUAUGAAGCUUAUAAAAGAUAGCUCAUGUUUUAUAUUAAUUGUGCUAGGUUGGUUGUGUUUGUGUUGGUGCUAUUAAAUUGAAACUGGUUGUAUUAAUUUUGAGCAAACAUUUAUAUGCUCAAAAAAUCUAAAUUUUAUAUGGUGCUUAGAUGUGUUUGAAUUUGGUUGUUUUAUGUUUCAACCGGUUGUAUUAAGUUUAAAUUUGGUUCAGUUUUAAAGACUGUUAUGUCA